This 23-nucleotide microRNA is filed under the name Callorhinchus milii (elephant shark). Its description in RNAcentral is "eshark_NOVEL_309". The record is from RNAcentral. Lineage: Eukaryota; Metazoa; Chordata; Chondrichthyes; Chimaeriformes; Callorhinchidae.
UUGAAUUGGUUCAGUACUGGCGG